CAAAGCUUUAAGUNUUGUAANAGGGGGUANAAUUCCAGGUGUANCGGUUAAAAUGCGUUAAAGAUCUGAAGNAAUACCGGUGGCGAAGGCGGCCCCCNUGNACAAAGACUUGACGCUCAGGUGCGAAAGCGUGGGGAGCAAACAGAUUAGAUACCCUGGUAGUCCACGCCGUAAACGAUGUCGACUUGGAGGCUGUUCCCUUGAGGAGUGGCUUCCGGAGCUAACGCGUUAAGUCGACCGCCUGGGGAGUACGGCCGCAAGGUUAAAACUCAAAUGAAUUGACGGGGGCCCGCACAAGCGGUGGAGCAUGUGGUUUAAUUCGAUGCAACGCGAAGAACCUUACCUACUCUUGACAUCCAGAGAAUUUAGCAGAGAUGCUUUAGUGCCUUCGGGAACUCUGAGACAGGUGCUGCAUGGCUGUCGUCAGCUCGUGUUGUGAAAUGUUGGGUUAAGUCCCGCAACGAGCGCAACCCUUAUCCUUUGUUGCCAGCACGUAAUGGUGGGAACUCAAAGGAGACUGCCGGUGAUAAACCGGAGGAAGGUGGGGAUGACGUCAAGUCAUCAUGGCCCUUACGAGUAGGGCUACACACGUGCUACAAUGGCGCAUACAAAGAGAAGCGACCUCGCGAGAGCAAGCGGACCUCAUAAAGUGCGUCGUAGUCCGGAUUGGAGUCUGCAACUCGACUCCAUGAAGUCGGAAUCGGCUAGUAAUCGUAAAUCAGAAUGUAAGGUGAAUAAA
This 739-nucleotide ribosomal RNA is filed under the name Hafnia alvei. RNAcentral describes it as "bacterial SSU rRNA". It matches the Rfam family "Bacterial small subunit ribosomal RNA", at positions 636 to 1370 of the family's 1533-position model. The record is from RNAcentral. Lineage: Bacteria; Pseudomonadati; Pseudomonadota; Gammaproteobacteria; Enterobacterales; Hafniaceae.